CGGGGUGUAGUUCAGUUGGCUAGAACACCUGCUUUGGGAGCAGGGGGUCGUACGUUCGAGUCGUAUCACCCCGA
RNAcentral lists this transfer RNA (74 nucleotides) under Clostridiales bacterium. Its description in RNAcentral is "tRNA-Pro". It matches the Rfam family "tRNA". From Rfam's summary of the family: Transfer RNA (tRNA) molecules are approximately 80 nucleotides in length. Their secondary structure includes four short double-helical elements and three loops (D, anti-codon, and T loops). Further hydrogen bonds mediate the characteristic L-shaped molecular structure. tRNAs have two regions of fundamental functional importance: the anti-codon, which is responsible for specific mRNA codon recognition, and the 3' end, to which the tRNAs corresponding amino acid is attached (by aminoacyl-tRNA synthetases). tRNAs cope with the degeneracy of the genetic code in two manners: having more than one tRNA (with a specific anti-codon) for a particular amino acid; and 'wobble' base-pairing, i.e. permitting non-standard base-pairing at the 3rd anti-codon position. The record is from RNAcentral. Lineage: Bacteria; Bacillati; Bacillota; Clostridia; Eubacteriales.